AGCUUUCUAGAUCCGUGCUGAGAUUUCGUCAGACACCAGACCAUCAGGAAUGAUGAGACUCAUGAAGUGGAGCA
Schistosoma margrebowiei is the source of this 74-nucleotide non-coding RNA. NCBI's taxonomy places the organism in Eukaryota, Metazoa, Platyhelminthes, Trematoda, Strigeidida, Schistosomatidae. The record is from Rfam.